RNAcentral lists this long non-coding RNA (1086 nucleotides) under Capsella grandiflora. Its description in RNAcentral is "long non-coding RNA (CGRA_LNC000820)". Lineage: Eukaryota; Viridiplantae; Streptophyta; Magnoliopsida; Brassicales; Brassicaceae. The record is from RNAcentral.
CAGAUACAAAGAUAUUUUAUCUCUGUCUAUAUCUGUUAGCAACAACAACAACAACAACAACAAAAAAAAAAAAAAAAGUGUAGACAGAGAUGUUUUAUGAACCGAAAAAAAGAGGUAAAGCAGCCAGGUGUAAAAGCCCAUUGGAGCGUUAGCUAAAUCUUACAAACCCAAAAGAAGGCCCAGUUUAUCUUUACUUGAAGGCUGUGCUGUAGUGUUGGGUCCAAAAGUCUUGUCUUCCAAGUUCCAAAUUCCAUUGUCGUAUACGCAAAACCUCAAUCAUUACCUUCGUUUCGACUUUUUCUCAAACUUUUAGUAAAUUAGUCUUUUAGAGCUUUCUUAAUCGAAUUUACUUUUUUUCCUUUGACAAUUUUUUUUUGUCGAUAUAGUGUUUUAUUUAACCUUAGUAAAAUCUUGAACUGUAAAACAAAAUAAUAUGUUAAAAAAUCAAUCUUUGUAUUCAACUUACUCUAAUUAGCGUUGUUGACUUGGCCAAAUUAAAUAUAACAAUAUAUGAACUUAACACUUCUGGUCAGUUGAUCAGACUAGCAAGUUUGAUGAACUUCUCUGACUCAUAGUUUAUUUAGUAGAAGAAGUUCAACCCUAUAAAAAAAAUAAAAAAAAAUAAUAAGCCAACUCCAAUUUAAAAGGGGCAUUUCAGUAAAUGAGUAAGUUAGAAGAAUCGUAAGACAAAGGCGAAAGAAAAAGCAUAAUGCCAUUUCCAGGGCUUAUAUAACACCAUAACAGAGGAUCCAUUCUUUUCCCAAUUAUUGCAAAGUCAAUUCGAUUUGUAUAUAUAUAUAUACAAAGCAGAGCUCCCCACAUCUCAAAUCUCAAAACGCCUACAUAUACAUUAUUAUUAGUCACACACUUGUUUAUCAAAUCAUAAACACUUUCUUUGGAUUUAUAUAAUGCAAAAAUACAUACACCCACAUGCUUGAUGUGUGUAUAUAAUCAGUUAAUCACACGCACAUGUUCGAACAUUACUAACCAUCAGUAAGAGGAAGAGAAGGGGAAGAGGUAUGGAGUCAGGUCGGGUAUUGGGGUUGUGUUUGGUUCUUCUGGGAACGGUUCUUGUCUUCUCCGGCU